AAAACAGGGAGAGCAAAGAUCAAAGCCAGGACAGAGGUUGGAGGCUGUGAUCAUUAGUGAGGAUGCAGUGAAAAGGUGGAGCGUGUCGUCAAUGACGUCAGACUUUUCAAGACUUUGUAGCAACCUUGACAUAAGCGGAAUGAUUUUGAACUCAUGCUCAGUGAUGAACCAGGUGAGCUUUCUACUGAAGCACUUCAGACCUCUUUGGGGACCAAGUUUCUGAAGGCGAUCCGAUGUGUGCAGGCAUUUUAAAGCAGCUGACUGAAUCUGUGGCGAGGCGUCCCGCUGACUUUCGGUCUGAAGGCAGCUAUAAAAUGACUUUAGCAUGCAAUAUCAUCAUCUUUUUAACAAUCAGCUCUUUUUCUUUUUAGGUCAUGUGCUGCUGAAUCAAAAUGGUUCAGCUGGGUGCCAGCGCUGCAAGACAGAAAACAGCUUAGCUCGGUACUUUCUGUGCUCCACCCGCACAUUAGCUUCUGUUCAUAGGGGAAGCAACAGGAUUUUUUAAAGGUUCAUGUGAGACAACAAUGUGGUUCAGUAAACAAACUAGAUUACAAGCUUACACCAAACCUCAACAUUUCCCUGGAGUUUAGCAUUCUGGCUUCUACCGUAAAGGCGUAGAGUUUCUAAAUUAGCCUGGAAAAUCUUUAGUUGACUUCUUUUGCAGUCAAAUGAAGCAGCUCAUUUAAAUACAGGCAUCUUUCCAGGUUUCUGUUUAACCAAGAACCACUGAUCUUUUCAAAUUUUAUUUUUAUUAAUAGUAUUUUAUAACAAAGCACGCUGACAGAUGCCACUCAAAGCAUUCAUUUGAUUUAACUGAGCAAACAAACGUUGAUCCCUGAGUUUCAGGACAAAAGAAUUUGUCUCUGAAUGUCCUUAAACCAUCUCUGUGAUGUUUGAGGUCACAUUGGAAGAAGAGCUGAAGUUCAGAUCUGAACAAACUUACUUGAGUCUGUGAACAGUCAAUAUUUCAGGUCAGAGGUGGCGAAA
Girardinichthys multiradiatus is the source of this 987-nucleotide long non-coding RNA. RefSeq lists it as uncharacterized. The record is from RefSeq and is a predicted model, not a curated record. Lineage: Eukaryota; Metazoa; Chordata; Actinopteri; Cyprinodontiformes; Goodeidae. The transcript has 3 exons.